This 460-nucleotide ribosomal RNA is filed under the name uncultured bacterium. Its description in RNAcentral is "partial 16S ribosomal RNA". It matches the Rfam family "Bacterial small subunit ribosomal RNA", at positions 338 to 795 of the family's 1533-position model. The record is from RNAcentral.
CCUACGGGAGGCAGCAGUGAGGAAUAUUGGUCAAUGGACGAGAGUCUGAACCAGCCAAGUAGCGUGAAGGAUGGCUGCCCUAUGGGUUGUAAACUUCUUUUAUAUGGGAAUAAAAUGUUCCACGUGUGGGAUUUUGUAUGUACCAUAUGAAUAAGGAUCGGCUAACUCCGUGCCAGCAGCCGCGGUAAUACGGAGGAUCCGAGCGUUAUCCGGAUUUAUUGGGUUUAAAGGGAGCGUAGGUGGAUUGUUAAGUCAGUUGUGAAAGUUUGCGGCUCAACCGUAAAAUUGCAGUUGAAACUGGCGGUCUUGAGUACAGUAGAGGUGGGCGGAAUUCGUGGUGUAGCGGUGAAAUGCUUAGAUAUCACGAAGAACUCCGAUUGCGAAGGCAGCUCACUGGACUGCAACUGACACUGAGGCUCGAAAGUGUGGGUAUCAAACAGGAUUAGAUACCCGGGUAGUC